AUGCCUCAGAUUGGUAUGAAAUUCAAUUCCACAAAAAAGGCUUGGAACUUUUGGACAUGUUAUGGAGGUCAUAUUGGUUUUGAUGUAAGGAUAAAUUAUGAAAACAAGAGCAAACUCGAUGGAGUAAUCACCUCAGCAAGAUAUGUUUGUUCCAAUGAGGGUUACAGAAGAAAAGACAAAAGGGAUAAUAAUACUAAGCGUCUUCGUGCAGAAACAAGGACCGUCUGCAAUGUUCAAAUGGGAAUUACUAUAGACCGAGAAGCCCGAAAUUAUGAGGUGCAUGAGUUAGUUGUAGAACACAACCAUGUCUUGCAAUUACCUGGGCCCAGCCACUUGAUGCCAUCACAGAGGAAGAUUUCAGCCUUGCAAGCAUUUGAAAUUGAAACAGCAGAUGAUUCAGGAAUUGUACCUAGAAAAGCCCACGAGUUAGCAAGUCGACAAGUUGGUGGUCCACUGAACCUUGGCUACACAUGUCGUGAUCGCAAGAACCACUUGCGAACCAGGCGACAAAGGGACUUGAUGUAUGGUGAAGCUGGAAGUAUGCUCAAGUAUUUUAGAGAUAAAAAGAAUGAGAAUCCUGCAUUUGAGUAUGACAUGCAACUAGAUUGCGAUGAAAAUAUAGCAAAUAUCUUUUGGGCUGAUGCAAGGAUGAUAAUUGACUAUGCUCAUUUCGGUGAUGUUGUUACCUUCGAUACAACAUUUGGGACAAACAAAGAGUACAGACCCUUCGGUGUGUUUGUUGGUUUCAACCAUUUCAGAGAAAUGGUCAUUUUUGGUGCUGCACUGUUAUAUGAUGAGACAUUUGAAUCAUUCAAAUGGUUGUUCAACAUGUUCCUAUCAGUGCAUAACAAAAAGCAACCAAGAACAAUCUUUACUGAUCAAGACGUAGCAAUGGGUAAUGCAAUUCAGACAGUAUUUACCGAAGCAUGGCAUGGAUUGUGCACUUUUCACAUAAUGCAAAAUGCCAUCAGGCACUUACCUCAUAAGAAAAAAGACGAGGAUGGACCAAAUGUACUUGCUGAUUUCAGUGCUUGCAUGUACAAGUAUGAGGAAGAGGAAGCCUUUGAAGACGCUUUCAAUGCCAUAAGAAGCAAUGUGGAAACACAAACUUGGUUGGACAGCAUCUACAAAGUAAAAGAGAAAUGGGCAAGAUGUUACAUGAGGAAUGCUUACACUAUAGGCAUGAGAAGCACACAAUUAAGUGAGAGCUUGAACAGUGACUUGAAAGACCAUCUAAAGUCUGGUCUUGACAUCCUUCGGUUUUUCAAGCACGUAGAGAGGGUUGUGCAAGGAAAAAGAGAUAACGAGGUAAAUGACGAAUAUGAGUCUAGGAAAAAUUUACCUAGAGUCAGAAAGGACUCCUAUGGUAAUACAAGCAAGCAAAGUUUACACACCACACACAUUUGA
This 1407-nucleotide ribosomal RNA is filed under the name Triticum aestivum (bread wheat). RNAcentral describes it as "partial small subunit ribosomal RNA". The record is from RNAcentral. Lineage: Eukaryota; Viridiplantae; Streptophyta; Magnoliopsida; Poales; Poaceae.